Molecule: non-coding RNA, 412 nt
Organism: Paramuricea clavata
Lineage: Eukaryota; Metazoa; Cnidaria; Anthozoa; Malacalcyonacea; Plexauridae
Source: the annotation of a GenBank genome assembly
CUUUUAUUGAUAAUAGUUGCAUAGACAAACCUUUAUUAAACAGAUCAAAACUACAUUUAAAUCGUGAAGGUGAUAAAGCCCUAGGAGGUGCUUUCUGCACCUACUUGAAGUCUGAUAGAAUUGGAAACACCAACAUGGCUUCAAGUCGUAAUGACAGCCAUUUUUUUCGCCAAAGUCAUGGGCACCAGAAAGACUGGACAAUGUAUCUGGCCCAUGUAAAGCAAGUGAUGAAACAGAAAGCAGAUUAGAUAUAACAAGGGGCAAUGUGAGCAGCGAUUUUAUGAGAACCCUUAGCUCAAUCCCGAAUGAAAGAGGUUUUAAAAUGGCUUUUCUGAAUAUUGUUAGUUUACCUAAAAAAAUAGAUGAAAUUAAUUUUUCAAUGUCAAAAAAGUUCAUUGAUCUGAUUGCAUUU